UACCCGCGCCCCUAGUGGUGGUCGAUAUUAUUGAGCCUAAAACGUUCGUAGCCGGUCUUUUAAAUCUUUGGGCAAAUCGGGCAGCUUAACUGUCCGACUUCCGAGGAGACUGGAAGACUUGGGACCGGGAGAGGUCAGAGGUACUUCUGGGGUAGGGGUAAAAUCCUGUAAUCCUGGAAGGACCACCGGUGGCGAAGGCGUCUGACUAGAACGGAUCCGACGGUGAGGGACGAAGCCCUGGGGCGCAAACGGGAUUAGAUACCCCGGUAGUCCAGGGUGUAAACGCUGCGGGCUUGGUGUUGGGGGUCCUUCGUGGGCGCCCAGUGCCGGAGAGAAGUUGUUAAGCCUGCUGCUUGGGGAGUAUGUCCGCAAGGAUGAAACUUAAAGGAAUUGGCGGGGGAGCACCGCAACGGGAGGAGCGUGCGGUUCAAUUGGAUUCAACGCUGAAAAACUCACCAGGAGCGACGGAUAUAUGAAGGUCAAGCUGAUGACUUUACCUGAUUUUCC
RNAcentral lists this ribosomal RNA (507 nucleotides) under uncultured archaeon. Its description in RNAcentral is "bacterial SSU rRNA". It matches the Rfam family "Archaeal small subunit ribosomal RNA", at positions 474 to 981 of the family's 1478-position model. The record is from RNAcentral.